This 450-nucleotide ribosomal RNA is filed under the name uncultured Methylophilaceae bacterium. RNAcentral describes it as "bacterial SSU rRNA". It matches the Rfam family "Bacterial small subunit ribosomal RNA", at positions 933 to 1382 of the family's 1533-position model. Lineage: Bacteria; Pseudomonadati; Pseudomonadota; Betaproteobacteria; Nitrosomonadales; Methylophilaceae. The record is from RNAcentral.
UGGAUGAUGUGGAUUAAUUCGAUGCAACGCGAAAACCUUACCUGGCCUUGACAUGUAGCGAACUUUCCAGAGAUGGAUUGGUGCUCGAAAGAGAACGCUAACACAGGUGCUGCAUGGCUGUCGUCAGCUCGUGUCGUGAGAUGUUGGGUUAAGUCCCGCAACGAGCGCAACCCUUGCCAUUAAUUGCCAUCAUUUAGUUGGGCACUUUAAUGGGACUGCCGGUGACAAACCGGAGGAAAGGUGGGGAUGACGUCAAGUCCUCAUGGCCCUUAUGGCCAGGGCUUCACACGUAAUACAAUGGUCGGUACAGAGGGUUGCCAAGCCGCGAGGUGGAGCCAAUCCCAGAAAGCCGAUCGUAGUCCGGAUUGUAGUCUGCAACUCGACUACAUGAAGUCGGAAUCGCUAGUAAUCGCGGAUCAGCAUGUCGCGGUGAAUACGUUCCCGGGCCUU